GUAAUCGCGGAUCAGCAUGCCGCGGUGAAUACGUUCCCGGGCCUUGUACACACCGCCCGUCACACCAUGGGAGCCGGUAAUACCCGAAGUCAGUAGUCCAACCUCGUGAGGACGCUGCCGAAGGUAGGAUUGGCGACUGGGGUGAAGUCGUAACAAGGUACC
This 162-nucleotide ribosomal RNA is filed under the name uncultured bacterium. RNAcentral's name for it is "partial 16S ribosomal RNA". It matches the Rfam family "Bacterial small subunit ribosomal RNA", at positions 1338 to 1500 of the family's 1533-position model. The record is from RNAcentral.